Molecule: ribosomal RNA, 495 nt
Filed under: uncultured bacterium
Lineage: Bacteria
Description: partial 16S ribosomal RNA
Rfam family: Bacterial small subunit ribosomal RNA
Source: RNAcentral
GACGAACGCUGGCGGCGUGCCUAAUACAUGCAAGUAGAACGCUGAAGGAGGAGCUUGCUUCUCUGGAUGAGUUGCGAACGGGUGAGUAACGCGUAGGUAACCUGCCUGGUAGCGGGGGAUAACUAUUGGAAACGAUAGCUAAUACCGCAUAAUAGUAGAUGUUGCAUGACAUUUGCUUAAAAGGUGCAAUUGCAUCACUACCAGAUGGACCUGCGUUGUAUUAGCUAGUUGGUGGGGUAACGGCUCACCAAGGCGACGAUACAUAGCCGACCUGAGAGGGUGAUCGGCCACACUGGGACUGAGACACGGCCCAGACUCCUACGGGAGGCAGCAGUAGGGAAUCUUCGGCAAUGGACGGAAGUCUGACCGAGCAACGCCGCGUGAGUGAAGAAGGUUUUCGGAUCGUAAAGCUCUGUUGUAAGAGAAGAACGAGUGUGAGAGUGGAAAGUUCACACUGUGACGGUAUCUUACCUGAAAGGGACGGCUAACUACGUG